Molecule: ribosomal RNA, 274 nt
Filed under: uncultured bacterium
Lineage: Bacteria
Description: partial 16S ribosomal RNA
Rfam family: Bacterial small subunit ribosomal RNA
Source: RNAcentral
AUACGGAGGGUGCAAGCGUUACUCGGAAUCACUGGGCGUAAAGCGCGCGCAGGCGGCUAUUUAAGUUGGAUGUGAAAGCCUAUGGCUCAACCAUAGAACUGCAUCCAAAACUAUUUAGCUAGAGUGUGGGAGAGGAAGAUGGAAUUAGUUGUGUAGGGGUAAAAUCCGUAGAGAUAACUAGGAAUACCAAAAGCGAAGGCAAGCUUCUGGAGCACUACUGACGCUGAGGCGCGAAAGCGUGGGUAGCAAACAGGAUUAGAAACCCUAGUAGUCC